AGAAGGAAGAGCUGGUCAUACCUCUCUAGAGACCUGGCAGUGGGAGGCCGACACCCGAAGAUGCAGCUGCUGCUCCUGCUGCUUCUGCUGCUUCUGGGGCCCAGCUCCGGGCUCGGUGCUGUCGUCUCUCAGAGUCCAAGCAGGGUCAUCUGUGCAAGUGGGACCCGUGUGACGAUCGAGUGUCGCGCAGUGGACUUUCAGGCCUCAACUGUGUUUUGGUAUCAGCAGUUCCCGAAUCAGGGCCUCGUCCUGAUGGCGACUUCCAAUGUGGGCUCUCCUGCCACACACGAGCAAGGAUUCCCCCAGGAGAGCUUUUCCAUCAGCCACCCAAGUCUGACUUUCUCAUCUCUGACGGUGACGAGUGCGCGCCCUGAGCACAGCGGCCUCUACUUCUGUGCUGCCAGUGACACAGCGCGGGGCGGAGAUGAGAGGCCCAGGCAGGAACCUCUGCCCUGCUCCCCUGCACCCAGCCUGGGGAGCCCUGUGGGAGGGGGUGUGGGGGGAGGGAAACCACAGCUCCUCUGA
This is a non-coding RNA of Phyllostomus hastatus (greater spear-nosed bat), 525 nucleotides long. The record is from the annotation of a RefSeq genome assembly. Lineage: Eukaryota; Metazoa; Chordata; Mammalia; Chiroptera; Phyllostomidae.